Molecule: transfer RNA, 68 nt
Filed under: Legionella oakridgensis RV-2-2007
Lineage: Bacteria; Pseudomonadati; Pseudomonadota; Gammaproteobacteria; Legionellales; Legionellaceae
Description: tRNA-Phe
Rfam family: tRNA
About the family: Transfer RNA (tRNA) molecules are approximately 80 nucleotides in length.
Source: RNAcentral
CCAGAUAGCUCAGUCGGUAGAGCAGAGGACUGAAAAUCCUCGUGUCGGCAGUUCGAUUCUGCCUCUGG